RNAcentral lists this unclassified non-coding RNA (500 nucleotides) under Hevea brasiliensis (rubber tree). Lineage: Eukaryota; Viridiplantae; Streptophyta; Magnoliopsida; Malpighiales; Euphorbiaceae. The record is from RNAcentral.
GUAGAUACUAUAAAAAGAAGGAUGGUUAACAUAACUUGCCUUCAAGAAACUAACUGAAAGGAGAAAAGGCAAGAGAGAUUGGUAACACAAGUUGUAAGUUGAGGUAUUCCGCGUUUGAGAAGAAUAAAAAUAGAGCAGGAAUUCUAGUAAAACCAUGAUUCAAAGAUAUGGUGGUGGAAGUGAAGAGAAUUGGUGACAAAAUUAUCUAUUUGAAAUUAAUAUUGAGAAAGGAGACCUUUAUCAUCAUCAGCAUGUGUGCACCUUAAGUAGGUUUAGACGAGGAAGCUAAAAGUAAAUUUUGGGAAGAUAAGGGUGCUUUGGUUCAAAGGAUUCCCAAUGAUCACAAGAUUUUUGUUAGGGGAGAUUUAAAUGGACAUGUAGGUAGUAGCAAUGAUGGUUUUGAAACGGUGCAUGGGGAAUUCGGACAUGAGAGUAGGAAAAAGAAAGGGAAGACCAUCCUAGAAUUUGCCUUGGCUUAUGAUCUAGCCUUGGCAAACACC